RNAcentral lists this unclassified non-coding RNA (281 nucleotides) under fungal sp. Its description in RNAcentral is "partial internal transcribed spacer region". The stretch from base 1 to 46 matches the Rfam family "Eukaryotic small subunit ribosomal RNA", at positions 1786 to 1831 of the family's 1831-position model. Lineage: Eukaryota; Fungi. The record is from RNAcentral.
AAGUCGUAACAAGGUAACCGUAGGUGAACCUGCGGUUGGAUCAUUAUCAAAAGAAGUACUUUAGAGUACCCUUUAACCGCUGGGGCUGCCUAAACAGUAGUUCCAGUCAACCUUGUGUGAACCGUUUAUUGUCUCUGGCAGGACCGCUAGUUGGCAGCCUGUACCUAGUACUUGAUGCCAGCAGCACCUGCCAGUCUUUUUGUUAAACACCUUUUUUUAACCCCGUCUUAAUCAAAUAAAUAAAUUUGAAACAACUUUUGACAACGGAUCUCUUGGCUCUC